This 420-nucleotide ribosomal RNA is filed under the name uncultured bacterium. Its description in RNAcentral is "partial 16S ribosomal RNA". It matches the Rfam family "Bacterial small subunit ribosomal RNA", at positions 361 to 773 of the family's 1533-position model. The record is from RNAcentral.
AUAUUGGACAAUGGGGGCAACCCUGAUCCAGCCAUGCCGCGUGUGUGAAGAAGGUCUUCGGAUUGUAAAGCACUUUAAGUUGGGAGGAAGGGCUUUAGGUUAAUACCCUGAAGUUUUGACGUUACCAACAGAAUAAGCACCGGCUAACUCCGUGCCAGCAGCCGCGGUAAUACAGAGGGUGCAAGCGUAAAUCGGAAUUACUGGGCGUAAAGCGCGCGUAGGGGUUUCAGUAAGAUGGUUGUGAAAUCCCCGGGCUUAACCUGGGAACUGUUUCAAUAACUGCUGGGUUAGAGUACGUUAGAGGGUAGUGGAAUUUCCGGUGUAGCGGUGAAAUGCGUAGAUAUAGGAAGGACCACCAGUGGCGAAGGCGACUACCUGGACUGAUACGGACACUGAGGUGCGAAAGCGUGGGGAGCAAAC